RNAcentral lists this non-coding RNA (29 nucleotides) under Mus musculus (house mouse). The record is from RNAcentral. Lineage: Eukaryota; Metazoa; Chordata; Mammalia; Rodentia; Muridae.
UUUUNCACACUGUUAAGUAAGCCAGGUUC